This 110-nucleotide ribosomal RNA is filed under the name Clostridium botulinum. Its description in RNAcentral is "partial 16S ribosomal RNA". It matches the Rfam family "Bacterial small subunit ribosomal RNA", at positions 1 to 106 of the family's 1533-position model. The record is from RNAcentral. Lineage: Bacteria; Bacillati; Bacillota; Clostridia; Eubacteriales; Clostridiaceae.
UUUUAAAUUGAGAGUUUGAUCCUGGCUCAGGACGAACGCUGGCGGCGUGCCUAACACAUGCAAGUCGAGCGAUGAAACUUCCUUCGGGAAGUGGAUUAGCGGCGGACGGG